AGUGGCGAACGGGUGAGUAACACAUGAACAACUACCUGAUGACUGGGAUAACGAUCUGAAAAGAUACGCUAAUACCGGAUAGGUAGCGGAAGGGCAUCCUUCUUCUAUUAAAGUUAGGGGUUCACAACACAACAGGGAUGGGUUCAUGUCGCAUUAGUUAGUUGGUGAGGUAACGGCCCACCAAGACGAUGAUGCGUAGCCGAUCUGAGAGGAUGAACGGCCCACAUUGGGACUGAGACACGGCCCAGACUCCUACGGGAGGCAGCAGUAGGGAAUUUUCGGCAAUGGGGGAACCCUGACCGAGCAACGCCGCGUGAACGAUGAAGGUCUUUGGAUUGUAAAGUUCUGUUACGAGGGAAGAAUGUUGAGUAUAGGGAAUGAUACUCAAGUGACGGUACCUCGCCAGAAGCCACGGCUAACUACGUGCC
RNAcentral lists this ribosomal RNA (428 nucleotides) under uncultured bacterium. RNAcentral describes it as "bacterial SSU rRNA". It matches the Rfam family "Bacterial small subunit ribosomal RNA", at positions 94 to 509 of the family's 1533-position model. The record is from RNAcentral.